GAUGAAGAACGCAGCGAAAUGCGAUAAGUAGUGUGAAUUGCAGAAUUCCGUGAAUCAUCGAAUCUUUGAACGCACAUUGCGCCUUCUGGUAUUCCGGAAGGCAUGCCUGUUCGAGAGUCAUUAACAACCGUUUCGAUCCCUUUCUUUCAGAAAUUACAAAGAGGAAAAGGGUUUGGUUAUGGUGGAGGAGGGAAAGGGAGCGUUUAGCCUGUAAAAAAAGAGGCUGUGUUCCGCCUCCCCCCCAAAAUUGUACAGGCGGUCGUGUGCGCCCACGCAUCGAGGUGUUGUAAAAGCUGCCACGGCACUUUUCACCUGUGCAGUGCGAGAUUGGCCAGCCGGUUUAAAAACCCCUCCGAACAAUCAAAGGUUGACCUCGGAUCAGGUAGGGAUACCCGCUGAACUUAAGCAUAUCAAUAAGCGGAGGA
RNAcentral lists this unclassified non-coding RNA (425 nucleotides) under soil metagenome. RNAcentral describes it as "partial contains 5.8S ribosomal RNA, internal transcribed spacer 2, and large subunit ribosomal RNA". The stretch from base 1 to 120 matches the Rfam family "5.8S ribosomal RNA", at positions 35 to 154 of the family's 154-position model. The record is from RNAcentral.